This 331-nucleotide ribosomal RNA is filed under the name uncultured ciliate. RNAcentral's name for it is "LSU rRNA". It matches the Rfam family "Eukaryotic large subunit ribosomal RNA", at positions 646 to 977 of the family's 3401-position model. The record is from RNAcentral. Lineage: Eukaryota; Ciliophora.
GACCCGUCUUGAAACACGGACCAAGGAGUGUAACACAUAUGCGAGUUUGCGGGUGGAAAAACCCAUAAGCGCAACGAAAGUGAGUAUAAGGUGUGAUACCUUCUAAAUUGGGGGUUGCAACAUCGACCGACCUUGAUCUUCUGUGAAGGGAUUGAGUAAGAGCAUAUUUGGUAGGACCCGAAAGAUGGUGAACUACACUUGAGUAGGGUGAAGCCAGGGGAAACUCUGGUGGAGGCUCGAAGCGUUACUGACGUGCAAAUCGUUCGUCAAACUUGAGUGUAGGGGCGAAAGACUAAUCGAACCAUCUAGUAGCUGGUUCCUUAUCUGCAGA